UUAUCCUUGUAGUUGCAUGUCACUAUGCGGUAUCCAUUGGGAAAUAAAUAACAUGACUAAUUUACUAAAACUAUCAAAAUUUAAUUUGUAUAGUGUAAAAUAUAUUGAUAAGAUCAUAAAAACAACCAAAUUGGACCAUUAUCAAACAGCAACAACCCACCGCCGAGAGCAAACACAAAAAUAUAUGAACAAGAUAUAGCUAAUAUGGGAUAUUGACCUCAUGCCUCCCCCAUAGUACAGCCAUGAAAUGGAUAUGCACGUCCAUGUAUUCCUAAUACUACAUUUCUACUAUACCUAGAGUCAUCAUUCAAAACACAACAACACAAAUUAAGAGCAGUUGUACUUCUGUUGGAUAUUUUGUUGAACAUUCCGCAUGGAAGUCGAAGUAGAAGAUUGAAGGUGACUGAGCCUGCAGGUUGAAGAAAACAUCUAAACCUAAACCUAAACCUGAACAUAAGAAACAAAAUAAGGACAAUUUAUAAGAAACAAAAAAGUGAUGAAGCACACACCUACAAUCCCGCACAGAAGGUAAGACGCAAUUACACCAUGAUUUACUCACAAAAUGGAACUAAGAAAGCACACCAAUCAGGUAAAUGAGGCAUCAUCCCCCGUUCAAGUCUCUGAUGUCAUUUAGGCCCAACAAUAAUAAUGUAGACCUUCACAUCAAAGCAUCAUGCACUCAAAAAUAUUAAGUAGAUCAAUCUAUUGUAUUAUUAGCAUACAAAAUCACUCAACUAAAUGAAAGUGUGAGAAACAUCCUACAGGAUUGGACCUAAAAGAACUAAUACACCAACAAACAUAAGCAUUCGAUAAUUACCUAUUCUUCUUAUUUAUUUGUAGGAUUUUCAUACUAUACCAGGGUUGGGGGCGGCGAAGAAGUAGAUAUUGAGGAGGCAUCAUCAAUCUGUAUUGUGAACAGUAGGUCGCUGCUCGAUCAUCUUAUGCAUAUACCAUUGUAGGAUACUACAAAAAGGAUAAAAUUUCAUUUAACGUAAGUGCAUAACAAUAGUAAGUCGUUCAAGGGAAAUCAUAUCAAGUAAAGGAAUUAAUGUUGCCCUUAUUCAUAAAGGAAUGCCUACUCAUUUUGAAAAUAGUAUGCAUACUCAUUGUCCAAGGGCGGACCAUGAGAAAUAGUCUAUCUAGGAAAUCAAACACUCACCGAAAAACAUUAAGAUUCUUGACUUCCUCCUUUGAUAAUAAGAUCAAUUUGUAGCAAGUCUUAAACCAAACAAGAUGUGAAGCAACAAGUGAUAUACCUGAUUGUCUUCCGCUUCAUGUUGUGUCUUUUCUUCUUUUCACUUCUCUCUCGGUAGCAACCACCGUGAUACCUAUUUGCUUGUGUUCCCCUCCAUGUUGUAAGUGCUCAACAAACAAUAUUGUCGUCUUCCUAAAUCUUCAUCCAUCUAUGCUUUUCACGGCAUUAUUGUGUUCUCCAUCCCCCCAUAACACAUCAAUGUCAUAUUCAACUCCGAUUAUCAUCUCUCGUGGUUCACUGUCGCCUUUCAUAAUAAACAAUAGUGCAAUAAAUAUCUCACAUAUUAUUAUGAAUAACAAAUGGGAAUUUACCCAUUCCUCCCGGUAGACCAGUCUCUCUGGUUAUCUAAAACCAGCCACAAAGGAAACCAGUUUGUAAUCCAAGAAAUGCCGAAACAACCUAAAAAGCAUAAGCACAGUAGUAUAAGUUAGAAGGUGGAACUAAGCAGAACAAAAUGCAUUGUAUAGACCAAAUACAGCUCUCAAUCACAUUCGAAAGAUAAACCCAGACGAGCAAUAUCGUUAUAGUUGGUUCCCCUAUACGAGGAAUCACAUCGCACCACUCAAGUUUAUUUCCUUGUCACACUUGUUACAUUAGGGUUGUCUUAAGUUUGAUUUAAUCGCCUCUCUUGUGGAUCAAGAAAAUUACACCUACAACUGCCAAAUAUAGACAGAUAUAUGAAACUGCUAUAACAUAACAUAGUGAUUCAUAAGAGAUGUGCACCUGGGCAAGGCAUUGUGAUAGAUUCAGCGCACGGGGUCUUCCGUCUAGCUAGAAGGCUGUGUUGCGCUUAGCCCACAACGUCUCCCUCUCCUCAAGUGGUGUGCUCUGCCUACGUGCUCUUCGGCAUGCAUUCAUCUCUUGCCUCAGCUCGGCUGACUUAUUUUUAUUGGCUCCCCUUCUGUUGGCAUUCGUCUCGUUCUUCUCCUUGGCUGUAAGAUUUUUCCUAACUUCCCUUUGGUUUGCAUUCCUCUCUGUCGGUGUUAAAACCGGCAGAUCUCGGGUAGGGGGUCCCUAACUGUGCGUCUAAGCGGAUGGUAACAGGAGACAGUGGACACGAUGUUUUUACCCAGGUUCGGGCCCUCUCGGUGGAGGUAAAACCCUACUCCUGCUUGAUUAAUAUUGAUGGUAUGGGUAUUACAAGAGUUGAUCUACCACGAGAUCAGAGAAGCUAAACCCUAGAAGCUAGCCUAUGGUAUGAUUGUUGUUCGUCCUACGGACUAAAACUCUCUGGUUUAUAUAGACACCGGACAGGGCUAGGGUUACACAGAGUCGGUUACAAUGGUAGGAGAUCUUCAGAUCGUAUCUCCAAGCUUGCCUUCCACGCCAAGGAAAGUCCCUAUCCGGACACGGGACGAAGUCUUCAAUCUUGUAUCUUCAUAGUCCGGGAGUCCGGCCAAAGGUCAUAGUCCGGUCAUCCGGACACCCCCUAAUCCAGGACUCCCUCAGUAGUCCCUGAACCAGGCUUCAAUGACGACGAGUCCGGCGCACCAAUUGUCUUCGGCAUUGCAAGGCGGGUUCCUCCUCCGAAUACUUCAUAGAAGAUGUUGAACACCAGGAUAGUGUCCGGCUCUGCAAAAUAAUUUCCACAUGCCACCAUAGAGAAAAUAACAUUUGCACCAAUCCAAUCUGCUGACGUAUUCCGUAGCGUGACCUCACGCCACGGCCUGGUUUUUAUUUACUUUACUGCUCCACCUCAGCACGUUUAGCGAGGCGGUUUCCUUGGCACGUCUUGUCGAAGCAGAGAUUGUGUCCCCUCAUUUCGGGAUUCUCAUCAGUACGGGCGUGGGUAACCCAACCGCGCCAUUAACCGCGGCGCUUGGGAGAUAAGCGAGUUUUAUUAGGCCGGUAGGGGCUCGUAAUUUCGGCCGCCCAUAUAAGGGGAUAAGGAUCUACCCUUUCCAUUCACGCAUUCUUCCUCCUUUGCUUAUUCGUCCUUGCGCACUCGAGCUCCAACGCCCAAGCCCGCACAUCUCGCCUCGACCUACUCCAACCAUGUCCGGAGCGGGAGGCAAGUGGAUGGCCUCCUCCGUCACGGAGGGGCACAUCAAAAGGGUGCGGAAAGCCGGAUACCUGCACAACGACAUUGCGCACCGGCUUCCAGACGAGGGGCGGCUCAUCCCCACCCCUGGCCCCCAUGAGAGGGUCGUAUUUCUUCCCCAUUUCCUCCGCGGACUGGGCUUUCCUCUUCACCCGUUCGUCCGGGGGCUCAUGUUAUAUUCCGGCCUGGACUUCCACGAUCUGGCCCCGAACUUCUUCCUCAACAUCUCGGCGUUUAUCAUCGUGUGUGAGGCCUUCCUCCGCAUCGAGCCCCACUUUGGCCUAUGGCUGAAGAUUUUCAGCGUCAAGCCGAAGGUCAUGGGCGGACGCCAAGCAGAGUGCGGAGGCGCCAUGGUGGGCAAGAUGCCCAAUGUCACAUGGCUCGAGGGCGCCUUCGUAGAGACCAUCAAAGGGUGGCAAUCGGGGUGGUUCUACAUCACCGAGCCGCGUGACCAUGAAUGGGCAGCGGCCCCCGAAUUCCAAUUUGGCAUUCCCACACGGCUCACGUCUUGGAAAGAGACGGGCCUGUUGUGGGGUAAUUCGGCAGAAGUGACCACACUUCAAACCUGCAUCAAAGACCUGAUUAGCAGGAAGGUUAAACUUGUCACCGUAGUCCAGGUCAUGCUCUUCCGCCGGAUUCUCCCGUGUCAACGACGGGCUUUCAACUUGUGUGAGUUCGACCCGGCCCAGCACCAGACUCUGUCCCGGCUCUUCGACACAAAGCACGAGGAUGCAUGGAAGGUGCUAUUCAAGAGCUCCGAGGUCCCGCCUCCCGUCACCGAGGAUCGCGGAUUCUGCGCCAAGCGCCAAGCCAGCGCGUGAGCUAAUUUUCCCAUUACGGGGUAUCUGUUUUCCAUAGAUUUGAUUUUAUGCGGGAUCUAAACCCCCAUCCCUUUGCCAGGACUGGCAGAAGAGGGCCGGACUGAUCAGCUGUCCGGCUCCUUUGCCCGAAGACCCAGCGGACGCUCGUUUAACGAAGCUGCUAGUUCUGGCACCUCACGUGGUGCCGGAGAAGAAGGCCAAGAAGAAGGCCACGGGGACUCGAAAGAGCUCCCGGCGCCUGGUGGUGUCGGAUUCAUCGCCCGACGACCCCGACGCACCCUCCGCCUCGGAAGACGAGGAGGAAGAAGAAGAAGAAGCCUCUCCCCCUCCAAUGGGGGGAGGAAAGAAAAGGAAGGCUGCCCCAAUUGGGGAGGCCGAGGGGGCCAAGAAGGGGAAGACCCUUCUGCCGGACUAUGCCUCCGAUGUUGAAGACGGCGGGGAGGAAUGGCCAUCCAGGGUCAAGCCCCUGGCAAAAUCGUAAGUGUCCGGCUAUCCGAAUGACUCAUGGCGCCCCUCUAUUAUUUGAUAGCUUCUGAUGCCGAAUUUUAAUUAUGCAGUCCACCCAGAGUUCAGCUCGGCGAUUCGUCGAGCGGCUCUCUGAAUUCGUCGGAUGUGAAUAGCGCUUCACUUCCGACGGCUUCCUCCCCGCUCCCUGCGGACGACGCCGAGGCGGAGUCCCAAAAGGGACCGAACCAGGAGGAGAUGGUCCUGGAGGCGCCCCAAGGCGACCUCCCGGACUCCAGGCCCAAAAGGAGCAAAGCCCCGAAGGGAUCUAUGUCCGGCCCCGGGCCGGACACUGCUCCGGAACCGCCAACGGUUCCAGAGUCCGACGGGCGGCACCUUCAUACGAAGGGAAAGCCUACGCCGCCGGCAACCUUCGUCCAUCCGGAGGCGCCGAACAAUUUGCUGGAGGCGCUUAACGGCGCCUCCAUCAACGAGGAACACCACACUGUUAUGAGUGCGGUGAUUCAAAAGGCUCAGUCCGCCAAGAGCGGGCUGACAGGAGCCUGCACAAGGCUGUUAACAGGCUUCGAGGUAUGUGUUCAAAACAUAUAAAAAUGUUACCGCAUAGACAGUAGCCCCUGAUGCUCGGUUCGGCGUUCGGAAAAGAAAAGCCGAGCUAAGGAUCUAAAAAGAUAUACGCAGGAGUCUAAUAAAAAUAUAUCGAUAUGGGAAUGCAGGCUGCGUUGCUGACCUCCGCCGCACUGACUGCGGAGGUCAAUGCAUUGAAGGGAAGCCUCGAGCGGUCCGAGAGCGAGCUCGGCCGUGCCAAGAAGCAGCUCGAGGACAAGGAGGAUAUGUAAUACCGUAUGUAAAUGUAUAUAAAAAUACUUGGUUGCAAAUAAUGACAGGACCAACCUAAAUGUUGCAGGGGCCACGGCCGAGGUGGCGGCCCUGAAGGAGGCGGUCUCCAAGGCCGAAAGCAGUGCGGCCCUGGAGCGUGCCGAGCGAGAGAAGCAGGAGGCGCGGGUGGCGGAGGUGCGGCAAGAGCUCCAGGCUCUCAUGGAAAAACACGAGAGUUUGAAGCGCGACUCGAAGACUCGAGAGUCCGAGCUCGCCUUGGCUCUUGAGAGUGCCAAAACCGCUAAGGCCGAAGCCCAGAAGGCCCUCCAGGAUAUCGAGGCGAUGAAGAAGAUAGCGGCGGGUAAGGCAUUCUUUAUGCAAAGCAAGAAUAUAAAAGUAAAUUAUCUGUUACUUACUCGGAUCCGGAGCUCUCCAAGAGCGUUCGCCGAUCUGCCACAUAGUGUGUCUGAUGCCGCCGCAUACUACCGAGCCGAAGAGGGGAGCUCGACGAAAAAAGUGUUCUGGUCUCAGUAUGCUGAGGCCGAACAUCCGGUGCCCCUGAGCGACCAGCUGAAGCAGCUGGUCGAGCUCCACAAGGUGGCCGAACAGGCCAUGAAGGGCCUCAUAGCUCGGCUGUGGCCUGGAGAAGCCAUGCCUGGGAGCUACUUCGGUCUGGUGCGGCGGCUGGUAGACGCGUGUCCGUGGAUUGAAGUUGUCAAGCGCUCCGUCUGUAUUGAAGGUGCCCGUCGGGCUCUUGCCCGUGCUAAAGUGCACUGGGGCAAGCUGGACGCUGAGAAGCUUUUGACGGACGCGCCACCGCCGGGUAAGGAGUAUCGCACGCCCGAGAUGUAUUAUAAGGGCGUCCUGAAGGGUGCUCGCCGUAUAGCAGACGAGUGCACUAAAGAUGUAAUUUUUGAGUAGUCUCGCAUCUAUUAUCAUGUACGCUGAAAACUUUGUUCAUAUGCGUUAAGCAACACUUAUUAAUUUAAAAUAUUACCUUCUGUGCGGCCGUUUAUCAAAUCUGAGAGAUGCAAGUCGUCGGCUUCGACCCCCAUGCCACGAGUGCUGGGGUGUUCGGGAUAAACCUGAGCGCUCUUGUUCCCAUUCUUGGGUCCAUCUAGGGAGGCGCUCAGCACAACGAACCAGGUCGUCGAACUUAUGAUGCUUUAUCACUCUCACUUAGCCAUAAAAUUCUAUAAUUUUAAAUUUCGGCGAAGCCCCUUGUAUUCGGAAGACCGAGUUCGGGGCGCUAUCCACGCCUAGGCCGGAUAAGUCCGGUUCCUCGCUCUAAGCGGCAUAAGUCUUUAAGGACUCGAAAAAAAACCUCGCGAACAGCGACCGGUCUCUCGCACUAUCAUGACGGUCAGUUUUAGCUUUCUCUACUGAGGUGUUAACCCAGCUCAACUGGGGCACAAUCGCAGUAGUUCUCCCAGCGCUACCUUAGCCAAUAUUGCGGAAUGUAAGGUACCAAAACAUGGGAGCCGGGCAAACCAAACUAUUGACCAAAGACAUGAUUCGGAGCCGAUGCAUAUAGUGCUAUAAGUUCGGGGUGCCGCACUCGUGAGAGUGUUCGGUCUUCUCACACCAUGUUAUGGGGUACUUAAGCCCCUGGUGUAUUGGCCGUACCAAAGUGUACGGUUGCAUAAUGUCAUGACUGAACAUAUUUGUAUAAAAAUAGAUGAAUACAAUAAUAGAUAAGAGCUAUGUAUUGUUUAUUAAAAAAGAGCUGCUAUGAAAGCAGAACGAUACAAAUAGUGCGAUAAGUAAGGGAUGGGAUUAUUUGACAUGUCCCCCUCCAGGGGCAAGCUGCGUAAAUUUAAGCAAAACGGGUAUUUAGCUCGUUAUAGAGACCACCUGGACAUAUGACACAGCUUGUUCGUUCCCUGGCUGUUGCAUCGUGUG
RNAcentral lists this long non-coding RNA (7303 nucleotides) under Triticum aestivum (bread wheat). RNAcentral describes it as "long non-coding RNA (TAES_LNC007607)". Lineage: Eukaryota; Viridiplantae; Streptophyta; Magnoliopsida; Poales; Poaceae. The record is from RNAcentral.